RNAcentral lists this ribosomal RNA (465 nucleotides) under uncultured bacterium. Its description in RNAcentral is "partial 16S ribosomal RNA". It matches the Rfam family "Bacterial small subunit ribosomal RNA", at positions 28 to 507 of the family's 1533-position model. The record is from RNAcentral.
GACGAACGCUGGCGGCGUGCUUAACACAUGCAAGUCGUACGGUAAGGCCCUUUCGGGGGUACACGAGUGGCGAACGGGUGAGUAACACGUGAGUAACCUGCCCACAACUUUGGGAUAACGCUAGGAAACUGGUGCUAAUACUGGAUAUGUGCUCCUGCUGCAUGGUGGGGGUUGGAAAGCUCCGGCGGUUGUGGAUGGACUCGCGGCCUAUCAGCUUGUUGGUGGGGUAGUGGCCUACCAAGGCGGCGACGGGUAGCCGGCCUGAGAGGGUGACCGGCCACAGUGGGACUGAGAUACGGCCCAGACUCCUACGGGAGGCAGCAGUGGGGAAGAUUGCACAAUGGGCGCAAGCCUGAUGCAGCAACGCCGCGUGCGGGAUGACGGCCUUCGGGUUGUAAACCGCGUUCAGCAGGGACGAAGCUUUUUGUGACGGUACCUGCAGAAGAAGCACCGGCUAACUACGUG